RNAcentral lists this ribosomal RNA (346 nucleotides) under uncultured bacterium. RNAcentral describes it as "bacterial SSU rRNA". It matches the Rfam family "Bacterial small subunit ribosomal RNA", at positions 32 to 355 of the family's 1533-position model. The record is from RNAcentral.
AAUCAACGCUGGCGGCGUGCCUCAGACAUGCAAGUCGAACGCGAAAUUUCCCUUCGGGGAGAAAGUAGAGUGGCGCACGGGUGAGUAACACGUGGGUAAUUUACCUCGGGUGGGGAAUAACAGUCGGAAACGACUGCUAACACCGCAUGAUGCAGCGGCACCACAUGGUGACAGUUGUUAAAGCGGGGGAGUCNCAAGACCUCGCGCCUGAAGAGAAGCCCGCCGGCAGAUUAGCUAGUUGGUAAGGUAAAUGGCUUACCAAGGCAACGAUCUGUAGCCGGCCUGAGAGGGCGGUCGGCCACACUGACACUGAAUAACGGGUCAGACUCCUACGGGAGGCAGCAGU